CGAAUGGGGAAACCCAGUGUGACUCGUCACACUAUCAUUAACUGAAUCCAUAGGUUAAUGAGGCGAACCGGGGGAACUGAAACAUCUAAGUACCCCGAGGAAAAGAAAUCAACCGAGAUUCCCCCAGUAGCGGCGAGCGAACGGGGAGGAGCCCAGAGCCUGAAUCAGCAUGUGUGUUAGUGGAAGCGUCUGGAAAGGCGCGCGAUACAGGGUGACAGCCCCGUACACAAAAGCGCAUGUGCUGUGAGCUCGAUGAGUAGGGCGGGACACGUGGUAUCCUGUCUGAAUAUGGGGGGACCAUCCUCCAAGGCUAAAUACUCCUGACUGACCGAUAGUGAACCAGUACCGUGAGGGAAAGGCGAAAAGAACCCCGGCGAGGGGAGUGAAAAAGAACCUGAAACCGUGUACGUACAAGCAGUGGGAGCACCCUUUGGGUGUGACUGCGUACCUUUUGUAUAAUGGGUCAGCGACUUAUAUUCUGUAGCAAGGUUAACCGAAUAGGGGAGCCGGAGGGAAACCGAGUCUUAACCGGGCGUUAAGUUGCAGGGUAUAGACCCGAAACCCGGUGAUCUAGCCAUGGGCAGGUUGAAGGUUGGGUAACACUAACUGGAGGACCGAACCGACUAAUGUUGAAAAAUUAGCGGAUGACCUGUGGCUGGGGGUGAAAGGCCAAUCAAACCGGGAGAUAGCUGGUUCUCCCCGAAAGCUAUUUAGGUAGCGCCUCGUGAAUUCAUCUCCGGGGGUAGAGCACUGUUUCGGCUAGGGGGCCAUCCCGGCUUACCAACCCGAUGCAAACUGCGAAUACCGGAGAAUGUUAUCACGGGAGACACACGGCGGGUGCUAACGUCCGUCGUGAAGAGGGAAACAACCCAGACCGCCAGCUAAGGUCCCAAAGUCAUGGUUAAGUGGGAAACGAUGUGGGAAGGCCCAGACAGCCAGGAUGUUGGCUUAGAAGCAGCCAUCAUUUAAAGAAAGCGUAAUAGCUCACUGGUCGAGUCGGCCUGCGCGGAAGAUGUAACGGGGCUAAACCAUGCACCGAAGCUGCGGCAGCGACACUGUGUGUUGUUGGGUAGGGGAGCGUUCUGUAAGCCUGUGAAGGUGUGUCGUGAGGCAUGCUGGAGGUAUCAGAAGUGCGAAUGCUGACAUAAGUAACGAUAAAGCGGGUGAAAAGCCCGCUCGCCGGAAGACCAAGGGUUCCUGUCCAACGUUAAUCGGGGCAGGGUGAGUCGACCCCUAAGGCGAGGCCGAAAGGCGUAGUCGAUGGGAAACGGGUUAAUAUUCCCGUACUUGGUGUUACUGCGAAGGGGGGACGGAGAAGGCUAUGUUGGCCGGGCGACGGUUGUCCCGGUUUAAGCGUGUAGGUGUGUGUUCCAGGUAAAUCCGGUUCACUUUAACACUGAGGCGUGACGACGAGGCACUACGGUGCUGAAGCAACAAAUGCCCUGCUUCCAGGAAAAGCCUCUAAGCAUCAGGUAACAUCAAAUCGUACCCCAAACCGACACAGGUGGUCAGGUAGAGAAUACCAAGGCGCUUGAGAGAACUCGGGUGAAGGAACUAGGCAAAAUGGUGCCGUAACUUCGGGAGAAGGCACGCUGACACGUAGGUGAAGUGAUUUACUCAUGGAGCUGAAGUCAGUCGAAGAUACCAGCUGGCUGCAACUGUUUAUUAAAAACACAGCACUGUGCAAACACGAAAGUGGACGUAUACGGUGUGACGCCUGCCCGGUGCCGGAAGGUUAAUUGAUGGGGUCAGCGCAAGCGAAGCUCCUGAUCGAAGCCCCGGUAAACGGCGGCCGUAACUAUAACGGUCCUAAGGUAGCGAAAUUCCUUGUCGGGUAAGUUCCGACCUGCACGAAUGGCGUAAUGAUGGCCAGGCUGUCUCCACCCGAGACUCAGUGAAAUUGAACUCGCUGUGAAGAUGCAGUGUACCCGCGGCAAGACGGAAAGACCCCGUGAACCUUUACUAUAGCUUGACACUGAACAUUGAGCCUUGAUGUGUAGGAUAGGUGGGAGGCUUUGAAGUGUGGACGCCAGUCUGCAUGGAGCCGACCUUGAAAUACCACCCUUUAAUGUUUGAUGUUCUAACGUGGACCCGUUACCCGGGUUGCGGACAGUGUCUGGUGGGUAGUUUGACUGGGGCGGUCUCCUCCUAAAGAGUAACGGAGGAGCACGAAGGUUGGCUAAUCCUGGUCGGACAUCAGGAGGUUAGUGCAAUGGCAUAAGCCAGCUUGACUGCGAGCGUGACGGCGCGAGCAGGUGCGAAAGCAGGUCAUAGUGAUCCGGUGGUUCUGAAUGGAAGGGCCAUCGCUCAACGGAUAAAAGGUACUCCGGGGAUAACAGGCUGAUACCGCCCAAGAGUUCAUAUCGACGGCGGUGUUUGGCACCUCGAUGUCGGCUCAUCACAUCCUGGGGCUGAAGUAGGUCCCAAGGGUAUGGCUGUUCGCCAUUUAAAGUGGUACGCGAGCUGGGUUUAGAACGUCGUGAGACAGUUCGGUCCCUAUCUGCCGUGGGCGCUGGAGAACUGAGGGGGGCUGCUCCUAGUACGAGAGGACCGGAGUGGACGCAUCACUGGUGUUCGGGUUGUCAUGCCAAUGGCACUGCCCGGUAGCUAAAUGCGGAAGAGAUAAGUGCUGAAAGCAUCUAAGCACGAAACUUGCCCCGA
Molecule: ribosomal RNA, 2661 nt
Filed under: Salmonella enterica subsp. enterica serovar Enteritidis
Lineage: Bacteria; Pseudomonadati; Pseudomonadota; Gammaproteobacteria; Enterobacterales; Enterobacteriaceae
Description: partial 23S ribosomal RNA
Rfam family: Bacterial large subunit ribosomal RNA
Source: RNAcentral